Molecule: transfer RNA, 71 nt
Organism: Loxodonta africana (African savanna elephant)
Lineage: Eukaryota; Metazoa; Chordata; Mammalia; Proboscidea; Elephantidae
Rfam family: tRNA
About the family: Transfer RNA (tRNA) molecules are approximately 80 nucleotides in length. Their secondary structure includes four short double-helical elements and three loops (D, anti-codon, and T loops). Further hydrogen bonds mediate the characteristic L-shaped molecular structure. tRNAs have two regions of fundamental functional importance: the anti-codon, which is responsible for specific mRNA codon recognition, and the 3' end, to which the tRNAs corresponding amino acid is attached (by aminoacyl-tRNA synthetases). tRNAs cope with the degeneracy of the genetic code in two manners: having more than one tRNA (with a specific anti-codon) for a particular amino acid; and 'wobble' base-pairing, i.e. permitting non-standard base-pairing at the 3rd anti-codon position.
Source: Rfam
GCAGUGGUGGAUUAGUGGUAGAAUUCUCACCUUCCAUGCAGGAGACCUGGGUUUGAUUCCCAGCUAGUGCA